GACAGAGGUGGCGAGCGUUGUUCGGAAUUACUGGGCGUAAAGGGUGUGUAGGUGGUUAGAUAAGUCAGUGGUGAAAUCCUACGGCUUAACCGUAGAACUGCCUUUGAAACUGUCUGACUAGAGUGCAGGAGAGGAGGGUGGAAUUCCCGGUGUAGAGGUGAAAUUCGUAGAUAUCGGGAGGAACACCAGUGGCGAAGGCGGCCCUCUGGACUGUAACUGACACUGAGACACGAAAGCGUGGGGAGCAAACAGG
RNAcentral lists this ribosomal RNA (253 nucleotides) under uncultured bacterium. Its description in RNAcentral is "partial 16S ribosomal RNA". It matches the Rfam family "Bacterial small subunit ribosomal RNA", at positions 524 to 776 of the family's 1533-position model. The record is from RNAcentral.